This 2071-nucleotide long non-coding RNA is filed under the name Canis lupus familiaris (dog). RNAcentral's name for it is "lncRNA (ENSCAFG00805029455.1, ENSCAFG00845013199.1)". The record is from RNAcentral. Lineage: Eukaryota; Metazoa; Chordata; Mammalia; Carnivora; Canidae.
UUUUUUUUUUUGUUUUUUGUUUGUUUGUUUGUUUUUAAUACAUGUAGCUGAUUGAGAGUAGACUGGAUAAGCCAGCAUCACUGCAGUGUCUCCCUCAAAGGGAAUAUUUAUAAGAGACACAGACCAGAUAUCAUGGGCAACCACUUGGAUAAUGCAUAGAGUGGAGGUUAAGUGUGUGUGGACUCCUGGCACCACCAUAUCCUAACCAUCUGGCUCUGAACAACUCAUCUAAACUCUCUAAGUCUCAGUUUUAUUUUCUGUUAUAAAAUAAUGAUGUUAAAACCACUUUGCCGGACCCUUCUAAGGUUUAAGUCAGGGAACAGAUGUAAAUGACAUAGUGUUUAUAAAGCACUAAGCCCUGUGCCUGUUGCACUGUAAGUGUUCUAUAAUAAUCAUGAGUUUUUAUUCCUGGAGUGACAGUUCUUUAAAGUUUCCAUGAAAAUUCUAAGACAGGUUUUAGAUUCCUUUAAUCAUUUUAGGGCUGCUCUUCAAUACCUCUCCUAUGGCUCCACUACUCUCUUUAACGCUGAAUCGUAAUCACAAAUACAGUCUGUAAGGGUUAAUAACCACCAAUCUCUGUCUCCCUUCUGUAUGUUAAAGCUAAGAAUAUGCCAAUUCCAACUCUAGAAAUUGAUAUAAAAGAUUACUAAAAUGUAGCCCAUAAGGUUACCACAGCAACCGCUAGAUGUCAUCUUUAGAAUGUCCCUCUGCUUCACAUCUUACUUGAGCAGGAGCUACAAUGUAUAUAUUUUUUUUCACCCAUCUUCUAAAUAAUUGGUUCACAUACAGUUUUAAAAAGUAAUCAUAACUGUUCAUGCAUCAAUAUAACAAGACAUGCAACAGCAGCACUAUUUUAAAAUGCACUGUAAAAAUACAAGACUUCCUCAAUAUUUAAUUUCUAUUUCUUUUAUUUAUGUUAUUAUAUAUAGCCUUUUUCUUUGAAAUUAGUGAAUCUCACUUCAACUUGGUUUGUUUUAGGAAAAAAGAUUAUUUUAUUUUGACAGCUAUUCCUCUCUUAUAACCAGUGUGAUACAUGCCCAAUGUGAAAAACACAAGAAAACCUCACAUUUAAAAAAAAUCUGUAAUUCUACUAUUCAAAUAUAACAGCUGGCAACAUUUUGUAUUUAUCAUUAGUAUUGUGUUAUAUAUUUAUUUGAAUAUUAUAUAUGUGUACAUUUGCAUAUAAUGUUUUCUCUGUAUAGAGAGAUAUGAAAGAUAUAUGUGUGCACAUAGAAAAACAUCUAUAUAUAUAAUGUAUAUACAUAUAUAUUUAUGUAACAAAAUGAUAUUUACAAAUAUUGUCUAUAUCCUGCUUUUGAAUGUAGCCUAUUCUUUUUCUCUUAGUCUUACAUUGUGAAAAUUAUUUCAUGUUAAUAGAGUCUUGUAUGAUGUCAUUUAAACAGUUGCUUGGUAUUUUAUCGUACAUAUAUAUCGUAAUUUAACCAUCCCUUUGCUGUUGAACAUAGUGUUUGUUAGAUUCAGUUUGGCAAUUUGUAAAGAAAAAUUUAAAUGCAGUGCUUAAACUAAAUUGGACUUUAUUUUCUUUCAUGCAAAAUAAGUCUCAAGGCAUGCAUGAGGGUUCCCAUAUGGCCAGUACCCAGGCUCCUUCUGUCUUGCUAUUCUGCAGUCUUUAGGUGUUGCCUCAAGUUCCAAAAUGGUUCAGAUACAACCAUUGCACUCACAAUCCCGUAAACCAAGGGAAAUAGCCAAAGAAUGGAGACUUCUUAGUCAGUGUUCACACACAACACUUCCAAUGGCCAUAAGUUAGCUAUAAGGGAAGGCCAACGUAUGUAAUGCUUUACUAGGUGGCAAUCUUCCCAUCUACAAAUCAGAGUUAUUGCUAAGGAAGAAGAGAUGUGACAAUGGAAGGAAAAAAAAACAGUCUCUGAUACAGCUCUUGAGCUUGUUUCCAAUUUUUUUGCUGCUGUUAAUAAUGCUGUGAUGAAUAUCCUUGCACAUAAACACAUACACACAUCUAAUUUCCUUGGGAUAAAUUCCCAAAAGGGUAAUUGCUCAGUCCAAGGAUAUGCCAGAUUUUAAGAGUUUUAACACCGGGGAUCCCUGGGUGGUG